This 1547-nucleotide ribosomal RNA is filed under the name Salmonella enterica. RNAcentral's name for it is "bacterial SSU rRNA". It matches the Rfam family "Bacterial small subunit ribosomal RNA". The record is from RNAcentral. Lineage: Bacteria; Pseudomonadati; Pseudomonadota; Gammaproteobacteria; Enterobacterales; Enterobacteriaceae.
UUAAAUUGAAGAGUUUGAUCAUGGCUCAGAUUGAACGCUGGCGGCAGGCCUAACACAUGCAAGUCGAACGGUAACAGGAAGCAGCUUGCUGCUUUGCUGACGAGUGGCGGACGGGUGAGUAAUGUCUGGGAAACUGCCUGAUGGAGGGGGAUAACUACUGGAAACGGUGGCUAAUACCGCAUAACGUCGCAAGACCAAAGAGGGGGACCUUCGGGCCUCUUGCCAUCAGAUGUGCCCAGAUGGGAUUAGCUUGUUGGUGAGGUAACGGCUCACCAAGGCGACGAUCCCUAGCUGGUCUGAGAGGAUGACCAGCCACACUGGAACUGAGACACGGUCCAGACUCCUACGGGAGGCAGCAGUGGGGAAUAUUGCACAAUGGGCGCAAGCCUGAUGCAGCCAUGCCGCGUGUAUGAAGAAGGCCUUCGGGUUGUAAAGUACUUUCAGCGGGGAGGAAGGUGUUGUGGUUAAUAACCGCAGCAAUUGACGUUACCCGCAGAAGAAGCACCGGCUAACUCCGUGCCAGCAGCCGCGGUAAUACGGAGGGUGCAAGCGUUAAUCGGAAUUACUGGGCGUAAAGCGCACGCAGGCGGUCUGUCAAGUCGGAUGUGAAAUCCCCGGGCUCAACCUGGGAACUGCAUUCGAAACUGGCAGGCUUGAGUCUUGUAGAGGGGGGUAGAAUUCCAGGUGUAGCGGUGAAAUGCGUAGAGAUCUGGAGGAAUACCGGUGGCGAAGGCGGCCCCCUGGACAAAGACUGACGCUCAGGUGCGAAAGCGUGGGGAGCAAACAGGAUUAGAUACCCUGGUAGUCCACGCCGUAAACGAUGUCUACUUGGAGGUUGUGCCCUUGAGGCGUGGCUUCCGGAGCUAACGCGUUAAGUAGACCGCCUGGGGAGUACGGCCGCAAGGUUAAAACUCAAAUGAAUUGACGGGGGCCCGCACAAGCGGUGGAGCAUGUGGUUUAAUUCGAUGCAACGCGAAGAACCUUACCUGGUCUUGACAUCCACAGAACUUUCCAGAGAUGGACUGGUGCCUUCGGGAACUGUGAGACAGGUGCUGCAUGGCUGUCGUCAGCUCGUGUUGUGAAAUGUUGGGUUAAGUCCCGCAACGAGCGCAACCCUUAUCCUUUGUUGCCAGCGGUUAGGCCGGGAACUCAAAGGAGACUGCCAGUGAUAAACUGGAGGAAGGUGGGGAUGACGUCAAGUCAUCAUGGCCCUUACGACCAGGGCUACACACGUGCUACAAUGGCGCAUACAAAGAGAAGCGACCUCGCGAGAGCAAGCGGACCUCAUAAAGUGCGUCGUAGUCCGGAUUGGAGUCUGCAACUCGACUCCAUGAAGUCGGAAUCGCUAGUAAUCGUGGAUCAGAAUGCCACGGUGAAUACGUUCCCGGGCCUUGUACACACCGCCCGUCACACCAUGGGAGUGGGUUGCAAAAGAAGUAGGUAGCUUAACCUUCGGGAGGGCGCUUACCACUUUGUGAUUCAUGACUGGGGUGAAGUCGUAACAAGGUAACCGUAGGGGAACCUGCGGUUGGAUCACCUCCUUACCU